Haliotis rubra (blacklip abalone) is the source of this 127-nucleotide long non-coding RNA. RefSeq lists it as uncharacterized. The record is from RefSeq and is a predicted model, not a curated record. The transcript is spliced from 3 exons. Lineage: Eukaryota; Metazoa; Mollusca; Gastropoda; Lepetellida; Haliotidae.
UCAUUUAUGCACAAUGCUUAAUUUGGUAUUCAUUGCUGGGCCAAAGCACUUACAGGAACGUAUGACAGAAUUCUCAGUCAAUAUUGGACCUGUGAAUGUGCCUGUCUCUUCCCAAGUGAAGAAUCUA